Molecule: ribosomal RNA, 775 nt
Filed under: uncultured Neocallimastigales
Lineage: Eukaryota; Fungi; Neocallimastigomycota; Neocallimastigomycetes; Neocallimastigales
Description: partial large subunit ribosomal RNA
Rfam family: Eukaryotic large subunit ribosomal RNA
Source: RNAcentral
CGUCUAUAUACGUAUAGCAUAUCAAUAAGCGGAGGAAAAGAAACUAACAAGGAUUCCCUUAGUAACGGCGAGUGAAGCGGGAAGAGCUCAAAUUUGAAAUCUUCAAGGUUCUACCUUGACGAAUUGUAGUUUAUAAGAAGUGUUUUCUGUUAGUGGAGUGGCAAAAGUUCUUUGGAAUAGGACAUCAUAGAGGGUGAGAAUCCCGUAUUUGGUCAUUCCUCUAGCUUUGUGAUACACUUUCAACGAGUCGGAUUGUUUGGGAAUGCAGUCCAAAAUGGGUGGUAAAUUUCAUCUAAAGCUAAAUAUUGGCGAGAGACCGAUAGCGAACAAGUACCGUGAGGGAAGGAUGAAAAGAACUUUGAAAAGAGAGUUAAACAGUACGUGAAAUUGUCAAAAGGGAAGCGUUUGACACCAGUGUUGUUUUUCCGAAAAUCAAUUACAAAGGGUUAUUUUUGUAGGAGUUAUGACUUCAUCAGCUUUCUGCACUUUCUUUAUGAUCUUUCUUAAUGCACUUUUCGUUUAACAAGUCAACAUCAAUUUCUUUUGUUGUAAAAGGGUAUGAGGAAGGUGGCUUUCUUUUCGGAGAAAGUGUUUAUAGCCUUGUGCCUCUACAAUCGGAGAGAUUGAGGUCUGCAGCGUAGAUCCUUCGGGGUUAGAUACGUUUGUGCUAAGUUAUAGCUUUUCAUAGACAACUUGUUGACUAUGUUUAGUCAUGUCGCUUACUCGCUGAUGCUAUUUUACCUACGCUUAGGAUGUUGACUGAUAUGUAGUCGUA